Molecule: small nuclear RNA, 107 nt
Filed under: Suricata suricatta (meerkat)
Lineage: Eukaryota; Metazoa; Chordata; Mammalia; Carnivora; Herpestidae
Source: RNAcentral
GUGCUCACUUUGGCAGCACAUACACUAAAACUGGAAUGAUACAAAGAAGAUUAGCAUGGCCCUUGCACAGGGAUGACACACAAAUUCGUGAAGCAUUCCAUAUUUUU